This 239-nucleotide ribosomal RNA is filed under the name uncultured bacterium. RNAcentral's name for it is "partial 16S ribosomal RNA". It matches the Rfam family "Bacterial small subunit ribosomal RNA", at positions 83 to 339 of the family's 1533-position model. The record is from RNAcentral.
CCUUCGGGUGUAGCGGCGGACGGGUUAGUAACGCGUGGGAACGUGCCCUUCUCUACGGAAUAGCCUCGGGAAACUGAGAGUAAUACCGUAUACGCCCUUCGGGGGAAAGAUUUAUCGGAGAAGGAUCGGCCCGCGUCUGAUUAGAUAGUUGGUGGGGUAAUGGCCUACCAAGUCUACGAUCAGUAGCUGGUUUUAGAGGAUGAUCAGCAACACUGGGACUGAGACACGGCCCAGACUCC